Salmo salar (Atlantic salmon) is the source of this 54-nucleotide non-coding RNA. The record is from Rfam. NCBI's taxonomy places the organism in Eukaryota, Metazoa, Chordata, Actinopteri, Salmoniformes, Salmonidae.
UAUGAACAUAUAUGCAAGUCGGUCUGGAUAAGAGCGUCUGCUAAAUUACAUAAA